CUUGGUCAUUUAGAGGAAGUAAAAGUCGUAACAAGGUUUCCGUAGGUGAACCUGCGGAAGGAUCAUUAUCGAGUUCUUUGAAGUGGGUCUUUCUGAUGCUGGCGCCUCUGUGGUGCAUGUGCUCGGGACCCCGCUCAUCCACUCAACCCCUGUGCACUUUUCGAAGUCUGUCGUCGGCUCCCAUUUGGAGCAGCUGGAGGUUUGGCCCUUAGUUGAGCCAUUCUCUUUGGCCGGGUCGUCGACGCUUCGUAUUAUUACAAACAACUUAUAAGUCUUGUAGAAUGUGAAGCCUCAUUGUGGGCGAAACUUAAUACAACUUUCAACAACGGAUCUCUUGGCUCUCGCAUCGAUGAAGAACGCAGCGAAAUGCGAUAAGUAAUGUGAAUUGCAGAAUUCAGUGAAUCAUCGAAUCUUUGAACGCACCUUGCGCUCCUUGGUAUUCCGAGGAGCAUGCCUGUUUGAGUGUCAUGUUAAUCUCAAUCCCUUUGUCUUUAUUGUACGUUGGGAUUGGACUUGGAGGUAUUUGCUGGCCCUUUUUUGGGUCGGCUCCUCUUGAAUGCAUUAGCUUGGGCUUUCGCUCGAUGCAACGGUGUGAUAGUAUUAUUCGCCGAGGCAACUUGCGGUAUGAGUCUGCUUCUAAUCGUCUUCGGACAAGCAUGGGUGUAUUUUUUAAUAUGCUCUUUUGACU
This 688-nucleotide ribosomal RNA is filed under the name Coniferiporia sulphurascens. RNAcentral describes it as "eukaryotic LSU rRNA". The stretch from base 315 to 468 matches the Rfam family "5.8S ribosomal RNA". Lineage: Eukaryota; Fungi; Basidiomycota; Agaricomycetes; Hymenochaetales; Hymenochaetaceae. The record is from RNAcentral.